GGGGCCGACUGGUAUCGACCGGACGAUGAUCGUUNGUCGUUGCGCGUCGUGGAGCAUCCAUGCCACGUAAAAAGGAUGCAAACUUUUAUCUGCCAACACGCAGUACGCUCUCGCGGCCUGAUCGCCGUGACGGAAUCCCAUCUGACGCCCGAUGGGGUGGGAUUCCGCAAAUCAUCGGGCUGGGUCCGAAGGGCUGGCAUGCCCUGGAGGAUCGAGACAUUCGCAUGCCUUGUUCACGGCUUGGGUCGUCAUCCCUCCGGGUCGUGAACGAGAUCAAGGGACGACUACACGCGUAGACGCGGCCUUCGGCACGUUUCGGGACGGGGGUUCGAAUCCCCCCGGCUCCACUG
RNAcentral lists this transfer-messenger RNA (350 nucleotides) under Phycisphaerales. Its description in RNAcentral is "UBA12014 sp002684855 Standard tmRNA". It matches the Rfam family "transfer-messenger RNA". Rfam says of the family: Bacterial tmRNA, also known as 10Sa RNA or SsrA, is named for its dual tRNA and mRNA-like properties. Its role is to liberate the mRNA from a stalled ribosome. Lineage: Bacteria; Pseudomonadati; Planctomycetota; Phycisphaerae. The record is from RNAcentral. RNAcentral also lists the same sequence under 1 other name.